This 473-nucleotide ribosomal RNA is filed under the name uncultured Bacillus sp. RNAcentral's name for it is "bacterial SSU rRNA". It matches the Rfam family "Bacterial small subunit ribosomal RNA", at positions 910 to 1382 of the family's 1533-position model. The record is from RNAcentral. Lineage: Bacteria; Bacillati; Bacillota; Bacilli; Caryophanales; Bacillaceae.
UUGACGGGGCCGCACAAGCGGUGGAGCAUGUGGUUUAAUUCGACGCAACGCGAAGAACCUUACCAGGGCUUGACACUCCCUGACCGCGUAUGAAAGUACGUUUUCACCCUCGGGUGACAGGGAGACAGGUGGUGCAUGGUUGUCGUCAGCUCGUGUCGUGAGAUGUUGGGUUAAGUCCCGCAACGAGCGCAACCCCUACGUUUAGUUGCUAACGCGUGAAGGCGAGCACUCUAGACGAACUGCCGUUGACAAAACGGAGGAAGGUGGGGAUGACGUCAAAUCAUCAUGCCCCUUAUGUUCUGGGCUACACACGUGCUACAAUGGCCGGUACAGACGGACGCAAAGCCGCGAGGUGGAGCAAAUCCUAAAAAGCCGGUCUCAGUUCGGAUUGCAGGCUGCAAUUCGCCUGCAUGAAGUCGGAAUCGCUAGUAAUCGCAGGUCAGCAUACUGCGGUGAAUACGUUCCCGGGCCUU